Molecule: long non-coding RNA, 2919 nt
Filed under: Lytechinus variegatus (green sea urchin)
Lineage: Eukaryota; Metazoa; Echinodermata; Echinoidea; Temnopleuroida; Toxopneustidae
Description: uncharacterized LOC121407485
Source: RNAcentral
AUGCAUAGUCGUAAUUGAAAAGCUUACAAAUAUCAUAUGUAAUUUUUACCCGUUUUUCCAUAUCCGUGUAAUUUCUAUUUGUAAUAAACAAUUAACUGUAUGUUUGUUUUCCUUUUCUGUUUUCUCUUUGUUUCCUCCAUAUUAUCGCCUCAUCAACCACCAACCCACAGGACUUUAUUACCGGGUUUGUAAGUAUCCAGUGAUUAUCCUUUAUUUAUAUUCUAUUUACAUAAAUGUCUUUAUGAUUAAUCCUUCCUUUUUCCUUAAAUGUUAUGGUACGUGUACAACACAAUUAUGAAAUUUUGAUUGAAAAAAAUGAGUCAUGAAUAAAGAAGAACUUUGUUUUGUGACGCAUACAGACAGAUAGAGACGUAUAUGUAUAUCUUGUUUUAGAUCUCUCAUGGAGAGAGAUGCUUUAUUAAAACUUAUCACGGGAGAUCUAGAAGAUGAAUCAUAAAUGUUCUCAGGCAAGAAAUUGCAAUUAAAUCAUACAGGCCAACGGUACUAAUCCCUCGCCCUGUACGUCUAGCCCACAUAUCAAUAUCGCUAGAACAACAAUGGCAUGAGGGAAAAUCUUGUAAAGUUUUGAAAAGAUAACAGUCCUGCGACUGAGUGUACAGGUCCUUAGUCUCCAUGCUUUGAUUGCAUAUAGACGACGAGGAGGAGCUGAAUUGCCGGUUGUGUUUACAAAACUCUGAUCCUCUGCCUAUCAGCAUCCCCGAUCUCGUUGCCAGAGGUGAUGUGGUAUCUGUGGAGUUUGCCCCCCUUCAUAAAGGAAGAUGGAGGGGGCGGCAAUAGCCCCCCUGUAUAGGACUCGAGAAUAACAUACACCUACUGUAAACUCUAACCCCCGGGCUCUGUGCUGCUAGUAGGUGCGAAUAUAUGAGCCCAUGUCAUUGCGCUGUCGUAUAUGUACUCCCACUUGGUUCAUAUGUAUGGGUUGGUGUCUGAGCGGUGCAAUAACCAGGAUAUACUUUCCUCAGGGUCAAACCUCAGCAAGCGCCUUCUAAUCAGGUGAACUCCCCCAAGUAAUUGCCAAUCCCAAUACAAACAAUCCUAUCCUAUUUUCCCUUUCAGACAUGAUUAUUUCUUUAUUUCUUGUCCUUCUAUAAAUUCUUCUGUAUCUUUUGGUCGACUCGCUUACGUUCCAUCUUGAGAUCCGGGGAGCAUCGCCAGGAGGCAGUGGGGAUACGGUGGUCUGUUGUUAGUGCUAUGAUUUUCAUUUUGUUAAAUUAGUGAUCAAUGUCAUUUGUUUUUUACCAAUGCGAGGAAUGGGUAUCGGGUAUCUAGACCUCUGCAUGCUACAGUUCUUCACAAUGAUUGUUAUUUUGCUAAUAGGCUAUCAGAUAGCAGAGGUACAGCUAGCCCACCAUGGCGAAACAACGUGUAGUUGGUUUUGUCAGCUGGAGAGGGUUUUGUGCCUUUAAUGGAAUAUCACGUUCAAUGAAAAUUGACCUCUUCAUGGAAUGUUUUUUGCAUUUUUGCAGGUAUGAUAUUUUCCUAAUGUUUCAGAAAUUAUGUAUUUCUCUUAAAUAAGGUAAAAGUAAUCCUUAGAAAUAUCUAAAGUAGAUUAAUUUUGUGCCUGAAAUUGAACAGAGAUUACACCAAAACAGUUUGUAAACAAUGUCUUUAUACUAUUAUUCCUAUACUCUGGCUAUACUAGCUAGGUAGGCCCUUGUUCAAUUUUUUGUCCAAAUUUUCUUGGACAUGCAAUUUUAAAACAGGCUAAAUUUAUAUGAUCAAGCAUGCUUAUCAAUCCCCAGAUACACAAAUGUAGCUCUAUGUAGAUGAUCAUGUGACCUCAAUUAGGUCACAUGACUAUUGUCACCUUGGGGUCAUAGAGGGCAUGGAAGAACUAUCAAACAUGGUUUGUUGUCUCGUCCCUCCUCAAACUCUAUUUCUUCUCCAGUCUGCAUACACUCAAUAAGCAGUGAUCAGUGCAAAAAGGCACAAGUGCUUUUUGUUUUAUUUUCAGGAAUAGAUGAGAAAGUUCACCUCUGUUUUGAUGUCAGGUGUAUAGGUGUCCAUACUUUCAUGACUUGUAAUGAUGCUGUCCUUCGGAUUUUGAGGAAGGGUAACAUGAUAUGAGUGAACCGAUUGCUCAAUGAAUUCAUUGUCAGUGCAAUAGAAGUAUUAUAGAAUACAGUUUUUGGAAAACAGUCUGGAUCAACCUAGAUAUACAUUUGAUAAUCCAUCAGAAAUAAUGCAACAAACCUGAUUAAGCUAUUCAAACUUUGGAGUUAUUUGUAUCUUGUCAAAACAUAGCAGUCUGCAUAUAAAGGAUGAAUUCAUUAUUCUACAUGCCACCUUUUUGGUAGCAAUUUAGAUGGAAUUAUGUCCUUUUGAAUCUGAGACACAGACCUAUCAGUAACGAUAUCAGUUCCUUUUGUUUAGGACUGGGGGCCAAACACCAGACUUGGAACCAAUUAAGACCCCCAAUUAGACGCCACUAGGUCCUGUCCUUGGUCCUUGACAGGUCCUGCUCUAGCCUCACCUCCCCAGCCGACCUUAGAACAUGGAUGUCAGUACAAAGAAGACCUCAAUUGUUCCAAAUUGUUGCCCCUGAAAGAAGAUAAAUAUGAUGGGUUGGUGUUAUUGCAUAUUAAAAAUAAUUAAUAUUUUACCCUUUGCUUCUAUCCAUUGGCGUUUGAUGAAGAAAGCACACACAAAUUUUUCAGUUUACAGUGAUGGAAGAGACCAUUUUUUUAGGAGGGAGUGGGGGCAUGCAGACAUAUUAACACUUUUCAAUGCUCUUUCGGGUUUCCUGAGUUAGUGUCAUUUCACCAUUCUAUUGGUGUUUUCAUGAACAGCAAUGGAGGUUGAAAUUUGUGUGGUGUUUGACAUUUAAAAUAAUAAUAAAAUGAAUUAAAAAGAUAUCCACUGAUAUCCUUCAAAUUUGAUAUUUGUUCAUUUGUCACU